GACGAACGCUGGCGGCGUGCUUAACACAUGCAAGUCGAGCGGUAAGGCCCUUCGGGUACGACGAGCGGCGAACGGGUGAGUAACACGUGGGUGACCUGCCUCUAGCUCUGGGAUAAGCCUGGGAAACUGGGUCUAAUACCGGAUAUGACUCCACGGCGCAUGUUGUGGGGUGGAAAGCCUUGUGUGGCUAGAGAUGGGCCCGCGGCCUAUCAGCUUGUUGGUGGGGUGAUGGCCUACCAAGGCGACGACGGGUAGCCGGCCUGAGAGGGCGACCGGCCACACUGGGACUGAGACACGGCCCAGACUCCUACGGGAGGCAGCAGUGGGGAAUCUUGCGCAAUGGGCGAAAGCCUGACGCAGCGACGCCGCGUGAGGGAUGAC
This 381-nucleotide ribosomal RNA is filed under the name uncultured bacterium. RNAcentral describes it as "bacterial SSU rRNA". It matches the Rfam family "Bacterial small subunit ribosomal RNA", at positions 28 to 412 of the family's 1533-position model. The record is from RNAcentral.